CCUACGGGAGGCAGCAGUGGGGAAUAUUGGGCAAUGGGCGCAAGCCUGACCCAGCAACGCCGCGUGAAGGAAGAAGGCUUUCGGGUUGUAAACUUCUUUUGUCAGGGACGAAGCAAGUGACGGUACCUGACGAAUAAGCCACGGCUAACUACGUGCCAGCAGCCGCGGGAAUACGUAGGUGGCAAGCGUUAGCCGGAUUUAUUGGGUGUAAAGGGCGUGUAGGCGGGAAUGCCAGGCAGAUGGGAAAACUCUGGGCUCAACCCAUAGCCUGCAUUUGAAACGGUAUUUCUUGAGUGCUGGAGAGGCAAUCGGAAUUCCGUGUGUAGCGGUGAAAUGCGUAGAUAUACGGAGGAACACCAGUGGCGAAGGCGGAUUGCUGGACCGUAACUGCCGCUGAGGCGCGAAAGCGUGGGGAGCAAACAGGAUUAGAUACCCCUGUAGUC
Molecule: ribosomal RNA, 443 nt
Filed under: uncultured bacterium
Lineage: Bacteria
Description: partial 16S ribosomal RNA
Rfam family: Bacterial small subunit ribosomal RNA
Source: RNAcentral